GCAAAAGCAAUGCGAAGCCUCCAAAGCGCAGUGGGAGUGCUCCCGCUGUGCUCCAGAGGCUUCGCAUUGCUUUCGC
Podarcis lilfordi (Lilford's wall lizard) is the source of this 76-nucleotide non-coding RNA. The record is from the annotation of a GenBank genome assembly. NCBI's taxonomy places the organism in Eukaryota, Metazoa, Chordata, Lepidosauria, Squamata, Lacertidae.